GAGAAGUCGUAACAAGGUUUCCGUAGGUGAACCUGCGGAAGGAUCAUUCACAUUAUUCUUGUGCUUAGCACUAUUUCUAUCGGUAUUUGGUUUUCCCAGCUAUAAUGGCUGAGAAUUUCUAGAUGCUGUUAGAAUUGUGACGGGACGGUUGUUUUUCAAUCGUCAACCCUCUGGUCUGGCUUCGGCUGGGCUUUGAGGGCGUUACACCCUACCCCUCCUGUAUUUUCCGCUUGACUAUUCAAACGGAUAAUAGAGGGUUACGCCUCAUAGCAAGUGUUUGAUGUAUCUGUGGGUUUUAUGUUCAUGGGUAACGUUGACCUUGUUGUGAGGAUGCCUUUUCCAACUCAUUUGAUGUGUUGGUCGAGGUUGCUAUGUUUCAUAGCCAUUGUUGCAAACACGCUGUUAAUUUAUUAACACGUUUUCUAAAAUUUAAACUGUCAGCGGUGGAUGUCUUGGCUCACACAACGAUGAAGGACGCAGCGAAGUGCGAUAAGCAUUGUGACUUGCAGACUUCUGCGAAUCAACAGAUUUCUGAACGUAUUAGACACACCACCUCUGCUUGCACGUGGUACUCCCAUUUCAGUGAACCUCAAAAUUCUAACCCAAUGCCCUUAUCAACUAACAGUUGGUUGGGUACCAGGUUGCGACUAACGCUCCGGUAAUGCUACUGGUUCGUUUAAUUUUCGUUAACGUUGCGUUUUUUGACCGCUUACUCUCUGAGUAAUGGAACUUUAGUUGUAACUUAUUACUUUUGUUCCGUUUUGCGCCCAAAUUUCGCCAACGUUGGCCAUUCCUUUGGAAUUUUAUUCGACGUCUAACGUUGAUAAUUUCCGUUCCUGAGAUUGGGUGAGAUGAUCCACUGAAUUUAAACAUAUAAUUAAGUGGAAGAGAAGAAAAUAAAUAUGAUUCCCCUAGUAACGGCGAGUGAAGC
This 931-nucleotide ribosomal RNA is filed under the name Theileria parva. RNAcentral's name for it is "eukaryotic LSU rRNA". The stretch from base 433 to 588 matches the Rfam family "5.8S ribosomal RNA". The record is from RNAcentral. Lineage: Eukaryota; Apicomplexa; Aconoidasida; Piroplasmida; Theileriidae.